UGAAAAACCCUGCAGCGUUGCAGUUCUUGACACAAACCGGUGUGCCUGACACCUACUACAAUAUCCUGUUCAAAGGCACUUAAAACUUUUGUCUUGCCCAGUCACCCUCCGAAUGGCACACAUUCACAUUUCUUGUCUCAGUUGUCUCAAGGGUUAACAAUCCUUCUUUAACCUGUCUCAUCCCCUUCAUCUACACUGAUUGAAGUGGAUUUCUAUGUCAUGGAAAGAAAAGGUGUCCUUAAUGUUGUGUGCACUCUGUGUAUAUGCCAAUAUCAAAAUACAUUUUUUAUAACAUUAAGAUAAGUAUUCAUACUGUAGUACAUACCCAGCUAGCACUUUUGUUUCCUUGGAAGUUGUGGAAACAUGUGUUUUUGGUUUCCCAUUAGUUCUGGGAACGAAGCCAUAUGUUUCCUGACCGGAAAUAAACAUGUAUCCUGUUCAGGGAACGUUCAUUUUUAGGUUGAAGGGAGGUUCUGAGAACAUCUUACUAUGGUUCACUAAAAGUUUUCCUGGGAGGUUUUAUUAACGUUCUGAGAACAGAAAUGAUAGUUUAUUUGAAGAUAAUUAAAUAAUGCUCUGAGAACAUGUUUCAAUAAGACUGCUAGAUUAAGCAGUGUUGAACUCAAGCACAGGUAGGACACAUGGAAAUUCAUCUUCUUAGACAUUAAUCAUAUAAACACAUUCAUUUUUUAUUGUGGCACGGUGUCAGUAAGAUUCAAACCUAUGAUCUUCUGUUCUCUAUUUAUGGAAUUAGUCCACUGCGCCACAAGGAUGGCACUAUCAUGCCUUGUUUUUCUUUACUCAUACAAAUCAGUUCAAUUUAGUCUAUUCAUACAGACUCCCCAUUUCAAAGGAAACAAGCACUCAUUAAGUUCAGGUGUGGCCAAUUUGUGGGCACAGCCAACACACCUGAACACACUUAACAAGAUAGAGGCUAGAGGGAGUUUUGUUGACGCUGAGAACAUAAUGUAUAUGUUGUUAAAUAACAUUCUUAGAACGUUCUUUGAACGUUACUAAUGUUUUCUUAAUGUUCUGAGAACAUGACUUUAAAUAGAACCCUGCAGAAAACGUUAUGCUGAAGUACUGAAAUUCCCACCCAAGAAACAUGGUUCUCAGAACAUUAUGUGCAACCAGGGUAUCCCUUCAGCAUUCCCAGAACCCUGAGGGAAGGUUGUAUGCAAAUAUAACCAUAGGACAACUCUCACCAAGCUCUCACCACGCUCUCACCACGCCCUCACCACGCUCUCACCAAGCUCUAAGAAACAUAUGGUUCUCAGAAUGUUAUGUGUUAGCUGGGUACCUUACAUAUUGUAGAAACAAACAACAACAUAUACCCAAUAUACAGUAUGUCCAGGUAUAUAUGGACAUUUUCAAUAUAUGAAAUGGUAGAAACAAGUAAGCUUACCAGACAAAUACUGUAAAUAACAGUAGAGACCACACACAGUGAGAAUGUAGCCAUUUCACAAAUCAUUUCCAGAGUUGCAGCCUGGAUAUUUCGAUUGGUCACACUUUGUUUAAAUAGUGCCUUUUUUUCUCACAAAUAGCCAUUUAAAUACUUGACAACUGUUUUUGCUGGCGAUUGAGUCAUAAGAGAUGGUCGGUGGAAGAUAAUUCACAAGAACUUCAGGCAAGUCUUCCAGGUCCUGGCUCCCGAGGCAGCAAAGCAUCCCAAAACCAUCACACCACCACCACCCUGCUUGACCGUUGGUAUGAGGUUCUUACUGUGGAUUGCAGUGUUUUGUUUUCGCCAGGCACAAUGGGACCCAUGACGUCCAAAAAGUGAUCAUUUUGAAUCAACUGUCCAUAGAACAUUCUUCCAAGGGUCUUGAUGAUCAUCCAGGUGCUUCUUGGCAAACUUGAGUCAACUGUUUUGGACAACAUGGGUUUUGGAAUGGCCUCGUCGAGUUCAUGCUUGAAAACCCACAAAUGUCGCUGAGUUACAGCAGUUCUGCAACCAAGAGUGGGCCAAAAUGCCUCCACAGCGAUUUGAGAGACUGAUCAACAACUACAGGAAGUGUUUGGUUGCAGAGUCACUAAAGGUGGCCCACGCAGGCAGGCAGGCAGUUAAGUGUCAGGGGGAAAUGACUUUUUCACAGGGAAAUAGGGUUUUGAAUAACUUUGAGUUUACACACAACAAAAAGUGUUUAUACUUCAAAUAAGUAUACUUUUUUGGGAUAUUUGUAAACUCAGGUUCCCUUUAUCUAAUAUUAGGUUUUGGUUGAAGAUCUGACAACAUUCAGUAUCAAAAAUAUGUAAAAAUAGAGAAAAUCAAAAAGGUACAAAUACUUUUCACUGUGCUGUGUAUCUGUUCUGCAGUUUCAAAAUGAAAGCACCUUCAGUACCUAGUCGACACAUUUGAAGAUGUCAUAAGUAUUGUACAAAUUCACUUAUAGUGUUUUACAUUUGGUCAAAAUGUAGUAUUUGGUCCCAUAUUCCUAGCACACAAUGACUGCAUCAAGCUUGUGACUACAAACUUGUCGGAUGCAGUUGGUUUUGGUUGUUGUGCCCAAUAGAAAUGAAUGGUAAAUAUUGUAUUGUCAUUUUGGAGACACUUUUAUUAUAAAUAAGAAUAUAAUAUGUUUCUGAACAGGUAUACAUUAAUGUGGAAUAAUCAUGAAUGAAUUGUGAAUAAUGAUGAGUGAGAGAGUUAGAGGUGUAGGGGAGUGUAUGUAUGUUUAUUACACAAUCGUUUUUUCCAAACACAGUACAAUACAAUCAUUGUAAUGGUA
Molecule: long non-coding RNA, 2729 nt
Organism: Oncorhynchus gorbuscha (pink salmon)
Lineage: Eukaryota; Metazoa; Chordata; Actinopteri; Salmoniformes; Salmonidae
Exons: 2
Source: RefSeq, a predicted model, not a curated record